GACGAACGCUGGCGGCGUGCUUAACACAUGCCGGUCGAACGGAAAGGCCCUGCUUUUGUGGGGUGCUCGAGUGGCGAACGGGUGAGUAACACGUGAGUAACCUGCCCUUGACUUUGGGAUAACUUCAGGAAACUGGGGCUAAUACCGGAUAGGAGCUCCUGCUGCAUGGUGGGGGUUGGAAAGUUUCGGCGGUUGGGGAUGGACUCGCGGCUUAUCAGCUUGUUGGUGGGGUAGUGGCUUACCAAGGCUUUGACGGGUAGCCGGCCUGAGAGGGUGGCCGGCCACAUUGGGACUGAGAUACGGCCCAGACUCCUACGGGAGGCAGCAGUGGGGAAUAUUGCACAAUGGGCGGAAGCCUGAUGCAGCAGCGCCGCGUGCGGGAUGACGGCCUUCGGGUUGUAAACCGCUUUCGCCUGUGACGAAGCGUGAGUGACGGUAAUGGGUAAAGAAGCACCGGCUAACUACGUG
This 468-nucleotide ribosomal RNA is filed under the name uncultured bacterium. RNAcentral's name for it is "partial 16S ribosomal RNA". It matches the Rfam family "Bacterial small subunit ribosomal RNA", at positions 28 to 507 of the family's 1533-position model. The record is from RNAcentral.